RNAcentral lists this transfer RNA (71 nucleotides) under Cordylochernes scorpioides. RNAcentral's name for it is "tRNA-Gly". It matches the Rfam family "tRNA". From Rfam's summary of the family: Transfer RNA (tRNA) molecules are approximately 80 nucleotides in length. Their secondary structure includes four short double-helical elements and three loops (D, anti-codon, and T loops). The record is from RNAcentral. Lineage: Eukaryota; Metazoa; Arthropoda; Arachnida; Pseudoscorpiones; Chernetidae.
GCAUCGGUGGUUCAGUGGUAGAUUGCUCGCCUGCCAUGCGGGCGGCCCGGGUUCGAUUCCUGGCCGAUGCA